GAAAGCGCUCUGCUAGACCGAAUCUGACGCUGAGGGACGAAAGCUAGGGGAGCGAAUGGGAUUAGAUACCCCAGUAGUCCUAGCCGUAAACGAUGGAGACUAGGUGUUGCCUGUAUCGACCCGGGCAGUGCCGAAGCCAACGCGUUAAGUCUCCCGCCUGGGGAGUACGCACGCAAGUGUGAAACUCAAAGGAAUUGACGGGGGCCCGCACAAGCGGUGGAGUAUGUGGUUUAAUUCGAUGCAACGCGAAGAACCUUACCAGGGCUUGACAUCCCGCGAAUCUUCCCGAAAGGGGAGAGUGCCUACGGGAACGCGGAGACAGGUGGUGCAUGGCUGUCGUCAGCUCGUGUCGUGAGAUGUUGGGUUAAGUCCCGCAACGAGCGCAACCCUCGUCCUUAGUUGCCAGCCUUAAGUGGGGCACUCUAGGGAGACUGCCGGUGAUAAACCGGAGGAAGGUGGGGAUGACGUCAAGUCAUCAUGCCCCAUAUGUCCUGGGCUACACACGUACUACAAUGGUCGGGACAACGAGCAGCCAACUUGCGAAAGCGAGCUAAUCUCUUAAACCCGGCCUCAGUUCAGAUUGCAGGCUGCAACUCGCCUGCAUGAAGGAGGAAUCGCUAGUAAUCGCAGGUCAGCAUACUGCGGUGAAUCCGUUCCCGGGCCUUGCACACACCGCCCGUC
This 681-nucleotide ribosomal RNA is filed under the name uncultured bacterium. RNAcentral's name for it is "bacterial SSU rRNA". It matches the Rfam family "Bacterial small subunit ribosomal RNA", at positions 717 to 1398 of the family's 1533-position model. The record is from RNAcentral.